RNAcentral lists this ribosomal RNA (953 nucleotides) under Plasmodium falciparum 377.1. RNAcentral's name for it is "bacterial SSU rRNA". It matches the Rfam family "Bacterial small subunit ribosomal RNA", at positions 500 to 1520 of the family's 1533-position model. Lineage: Eukaryota; Apicomplexa; Aconoidasida; Haemosporida; Plasmodiidae. The record is from RNAcentral.
UUUCUGUGCCAGCAGCAGCGGUAAUACAGAAAAUGCAAGCGUUAUUCAUUUUAUUAGGCGUAAAGCGUUUUAAGGUUUUAUAUUAAUUUUAUGUUUAAAUAUUUAAAUUAAAUUUAAAAUAAAUUAAUAAAUAAUAAUAUAAUAGAGUAUUAUAAAAGUAUUAAGAAUUUUUUGAGAAGUAGUGAAAUACAAUGAUACAAAAAAGAAUAUCAAAGGCGAAAGCAUAAUACUAUAUAAUUACUGACACUUAAAAACGAAAGCUAAGGUAGCAAAUAGGAUUAGAUACCCUAGUAGUCUUAGCUGUAAACUAUGAAUAUUUUAUAUUUAUAUUUUAUAAAUAUAAUAACUAACGUGAUAAAUAUUCCGCCUGAGUAGUAUAUUCGCAAGAAUGAAAUUCAAAGGAAUUGACGGGAGCUUAUACAAGUGGUGGAACAUGUGGCUUAAUUCGAUGCAACACGAUAAACCUUACCAAAAUUUAACAAUAUUUUUAAUAUUAAGAAAUUAAUAUUUUAAUAAAAUAUAUAGGUAGUGCAUGGCUGUCGUCAGUUCGUGCUGUGAAGUGUUAAUUUUAGUAUUAUAACGAACGUAACCUUUUAUAAAAAAAAUUUUUAUAAUAAAUAAUAAUAAAGAUUACGUCAAGUCAUUAUGCUCCUUAUAUUUUGGGCUGCUCACGUGUUACAUAAAAUAUUACAAUAUUUUAUUAUAUGUUAAAUAUAAUAAUUAAAAUAUAUUUAUAGUUCAGAUUAUAAAUUGAAACUCAUUUAUAUAAAGAUGGAAUCACUAGUAAUCGCUAAUCAGAAUUAUAGCGGUGAAUAAGUUCUUAAGCUUUGUACACACCGCCCGUCACAUCUAAAAAGUAUCAUAUUAUAUAAAAAUUAUUGUUAAAUAAUAAUAUAUAAUUAUAUAAUUUAGAUGAAGUCGUAACAAGGUAGCCGUACUGGAAGGUGCGGCUG